Molecule: long non-coding RNA, 3330 nt
Filed under: Canis lupus familiaris (dog)
Lineage: Eukaryota; Metazoa; Chordata; Mammalia; Carnivora; Canidae
Description: lncRNA (ENSCAFG00000055281.1)
Source: RNAcentral
AGGGGCCGAUGCCUUUUUAUUUUGAAAUAAUGAUAGACUCCUAUGAAGUUGCAAAGGUACUACACAGGGUCUUGCGGAUCCUUCAUGCAGCUUCCCCCAACACGGACAUGUACCAACUGCAGUGUAACAUCAAAACAGGAAAUUGACAGGGACACGCUACUGUUAACUAGCCUACAGACCACAGGCCCUGUUCCAUGUUCACCGUUUUGUGCAUAGGGGUGUGUGUGUGUGUGUGUUCAGAAUUCUGUCCCCUUCAGUGGCAGACCCUUCCAUGUGCUCCCCCCACACGCACAUGCACACAAAAUCACAUGCAAAAGCUUAAUCUAAGAAACCUAGAAAUGGUGCUUCUGAUGAGAAUGCCAUCCCCAUCCCAAGCUCCGGUACUUCCCUUUGAAGCACUUAUCAUGGUCAAGGUUUUGCAUUGAUUUGCCUGGUGCUGGGUUUCAGGUUGGUCUUACUGGACUGUACACUGAGUCGAGAACAGUUACUCUUCCUUUGUCCCCACUUACCAACCUGCCCCCACCCCUGCCCCCCACCCCAGCCAGGCAUAGCCCAUCGUGGGCAGGGAAAGCCAACUGCCAAGCUGCCCGGGUGAUGCUGUGCCUUUCCACUGAAUGGGGAUAGGGUUUCGGAUUAAUAUAGGACUCAUGGUUAAAUUUGAGUUUCAGGUGAAACAAUAAUUUUUAAGUUUUUUAUAUUUCAUGGGACAUACACUAAAAACUUGUUACGUGAGCGACACCUGAGUGGCUUAGCAGUUGAAUGUCUGUCUGGCUUUGGCUCAGGAAGCCACAUCAAGCUCCCUGCAUGGAUCCUGCUUCUCCCUCUGCCUGUGUCUCUGCCUCUCUUUGUGGGUGUCUUUCAUGAAUAAAUAAGUAAAAUCUUAAAAAAUAAAAACUUGUUAUGUGAAAUUCACAUUGUAACCGGGAAUCCUGUAUUUUUUGCUUGCUAAACCUGGCAACCCUCAAUAGGGCUGAACAUGUCACUGAUAGGCUAUUAGGGAAAUGGCAGUGUGUGACUUCCAGUGAUGUGGCCUCAACCCUGUUUCUUUCUUGCUCUUUUUUUUUUUUUUUUUUAGAGAGAGAGAGGGUGUGAGCGGGGUAGGGGCAGAGCGAGGGGGGAGAGAGAGAGAGAGAGAGAGAGAGAGGAGAAUCUUAAACAGACUUCCUGCUGGGAAAGGAGCUCGACAUGGGCCUCCAUCUCAGGACCCUGAGACCAUGACCUGAGCUGAAACCAAGAGUCAGAUGCUUAACCAACUGAGCCACCCCGGCUCCCCUGCCUUGUCUCUUAGUCACUCAUUGUGGGGGAAUCCAGUCAUAUGUCAUGAGGACACUCAGUAGCCGUAGGUAGAGGUUCACAUGGCAGGUUCCCGAUGCCUCCUACCAACAAACAGCCGACACCAGCCCACCAGCCAAGUGAGUGAAUCACUUUGGAAUCAGAUCAGCCAGCCUGGGUCAAGCCUGCAGGUAUGUGCAGUUCCAGUUGACAUCUUGACUGCAACCCCAGGAGAGAUCCCGAGUCGAUACCAGCACCUGAGUCGGCAGCCAAGCUACUCUUGAAUUCCUGCCCAUGGAAAUUGUGUGAGAUAAUUCUCACUGUUGCCCCAGGCUUCGAAGUUUGAAGGUCCUUGUUACUGUGCAAUAGGUAAUACCUAGGAGCUCCUGAGAUAUUUGUGAAUGAGUGAAUGAGCCAGUGAAUGAAUGAGUGAGGAAGGCUGUGGUUCCUCCCCUUCCCUGCCUGCUUGUGAGGGUGCUCGCCCCGCAGACGACACCCAGGUCUGCGGAUCCUGCCAGCUUCGCUAUCAGAAUAGUCUUCACAAACUCAUGAAAGAUAAGUAAGGUAUCGACCAUCUGUAUGGAACAUUUCAAGGGAAACCAGAUUUGCGAAUCUCAGCUCAUCUGGAUUUCCAACUCUUCCCAGUUCAGGACACGCUCUAUAUUUUUGUGACAAAAUUUGAACUAAGAAUAAGCCUUGUGCAACUGUGUAAUGUCACCGUCCUAGAAAAGGUACUUGUGCUAGACUUUAAAUAUAUCAGCCUUGAAAUGCCACUUGCAGAUUGUUUCUAUGGUACCAACCUAUUUAAAGUUGUAACUAAGGAAAGGAUUUUGUCCCCUCCAAAUCUUUCAAAGGUGAUAUGGAAACAGUGCCGUACGGAUGGCAUAGGCCGUGUGAGGGGGUGAUAGGACCGUGGACUCAGGUAGCAGAAACUAUGGGGAGGUUUAUGGAAUUCAAGAGCUGGUGUAUGCAGAAGGUUUAGCUUCGGGACCCCAAACAGACAGGCAUCACAAUGUACAUCUUAGCUCAGGUAAGUUGGCAGAAACGGUGGGGGUGCCCCCGGCAUGGUGCAGCAGAGAAGGCACCCGCCUGGAAGUCUAAGGUCCUGCAUUCAGGCCUGGCUCUGUCCUUAAACUGCUGUGUAGCCUGUGAACGCCCCUCGUGGUUCAGUCUUCUCCACUGCUUCAUCUGGCGAGUGUUGGGGCCCUGUCGGGCUCCUGCUGAGGAGCCCUGUUGCCUGGCAACCCCUUCUUGGUUAUCUCCAUGUCUGAGCACCACAUUGGGAAUCUAGACACGGGCCUGGUGUCCCCAAGGCCCAAAGCCAGCGUUUCUCUGGGCAGUGGUAGAUCAUGAUGUGCGGGUAUGAAAUCAGGAAUCUAAACCUCUGGUUGCCUCUCCCCUUGCUUUUCUGGAGACUGGGCAUUUGAACCCAGAAAUCCUGAGAAACCAGUGAACUUUGAGCCCCUUUUACGCAGUCGGGCCCAUCCGUGUAGGGGUGUGAGGUUGGGUCUUUCAAAUGAAAACAGCCUUAAGCAUUUACCAAGGUCUUACUGGUCUUGCUAUGACCAGCAGCUUUAAUGUAUGUAUUAGCUGCCUGUCUUGUCUUGUGGCCUGAAAACACUCCUUUUAGAGCACUAGUGUCAUUAUCCCCAUUUUGCAGUUGGGGAAACUGAGGUGCAGUGAGGUGAAGCUACCUUCCCCCAUCCCACAUCAAGGAAGGAGCAAAGUGAUUCGGAUCUCUGAGGUCUUACUUUAGUAACUUCAUUAAAAAAAAAAAAAAAAAAUUCUAGGGGGCUCCAGGGUGGCUCAGUCAGUUAAGCAUCUAAUGUAGGCUCAGGUCAUGAUCUCAGGGUCCUGGGAUUGAGCCAUGUGUCAGGCUUUAUGCUCAGGGGAGAGUCUGCUUCUUCUCCCUUUGCCCUCUCCCCUUCCCCCUGCAUUCAUGCUCACUCAUUCAAAUAAAUAAAUAAAUCUUAAAACAAAAAUAUCUAAGUACAAAGAGAACCUUUUUUCCCCCCUUAAUAACUUGAGACUAAGUUGCCUACUUGAUGCCCUAUCACU